UGGACGAUAAUAAGGGGAGCAACUUAAUAUAAUUGAGGAACCUUAAGAGCAAUUUAGCAAAUUAAUCUAGUUUGUGUUGGAACGUCUUUGUGUGUGUAUAUAAUCACAAACUAUUUGCGAAUUCUCCCCCACAGCCACCUCGCAAAAGUGAAACGUAGAGAAACCCCGUCUUUGUGAUAUAGGCCAUCAUCACCGGCGAGUCCAGCUCUACCAUCAUCGGAAUGUUGGAACCCUCUUAUUUCUCAGUGGUCCUCGCUUUCGAUGGCUCUUCCUCUACUUUCCUCUUCACCUCCGGUUGAAUGGUGAUGGUGUUGUUGAUGGAGGUCACAUCUUUCCAUCAGUCCCUAUGGUGGAGAUGUUGGCGGUCAUCCACCCCUCCGUCGAUCCCUGUGGAAGUAUGCCGCGGCCACUAAGUGUCGCCUCUUAAAUCAGUGGUCUGUUGUGCUAUUGCAACCUCCUCUUCCCCCUUCCCUCGAGCCUUGUCGAUAGAUCUUGCUCGAUCUCGACCGGAUAUGGACAGAAACAACCUAGGUUGGGUUAGAAACAAGCAGAUCCGAUCAGUCAUGGUCAGAUUAUUCUUAUUCAAAUUAUUCUUUUUGUUGUUGAUUCUGUACACUUCUUAGCUCCUCUGGUGACGGUCGUUGGUUUAAACUGAUUAAGGAAGCUAUUGCUUUGCUGCUUUGGUAUCGUUUUAGGAUUGGGUUGUUUAAGGUUGGGUUUAUUGAGCUUUGUCUAGGGAUCGUGAUCUGUGAUGGAAUCCUGCGCUCAAAUUUACCUGCCCAAGUCCAUUCUACAUUGUUUCAAUGUGGAUUUCUUAGGGGCUCCCAUACAGAAUUAAAUUUUCACCAUGGAUUAAUGGAUUGGAAUGAGAAUCUCCCUUUUGAUUUUGAUUGGGGUUCAUGGUGAAGCGUUGAUAGAAGGUAGUGAUUGGGAUUUUCGUGUUUUAGGGUAGUAAAUUGCAAUUAUAUUGGGUUUCUUUGAUGUGAUUUUCACAUAUAUUCUCCUUUAUAGUUUGUGUGGUGGAUCAACUGAUAUAUUUUACUCUUGUAAUUUGCACUUUGA
Molecule: non-coding RNA, 1062 nt
Organism: Punica granatum (pomegranate)
Lineage: Eukaryota; Viridiplantae; Streptophyta; Magnoliopsida; Myrtales; Lythraceae
Source: RefSeq, a predicted model, not a curated record